GACGAACGCUGGCGGCGUGCUUAACACAUGCAAGUCGAACGGAAAGGCCCUGCUUUUGUGGGGUGCUCGAGUGGCGAGCGGGUGAGUAACACGUGAGUAACCUGCCCUUGACUUUGGGAUAACUUCAGGAAACUGGGGCUAAUACCGGAUAGGAGCUCCUGCUGCAUGGUGGGGGUUGGAAAGUUUCGGCGGUUGGAGAUGGACUCGCGGCUUAUCAGCUUGUUGGUGGGGUAGUGGCUUACCAAGGCUUUGACGGGUAGCCGGCCUGAGAGGGUGACCGGCCACAUUGGGACUGAGAUACGGCCCAGACUCCUACGGGAGGCAGCAGUGGGGAAUAUUGCACAAUGGGCGGAAGCCUGAUGCAGCAACGCCGCGUGCGGGAUGACGGCCUUCGGGUUGUAAACCGCUUUCGCCUGUGACGAAGCGUGAGUGACGGUAAUGGGUAAAGAAGCACCGGCUAACUACGUG
RNAcentral lists this ribosomal RNA (468 nucleotides) under uncultured bacterium. Its description in RNAcentral is "partial 16S ribosomal RNA". It matches the Rfam family "Bacterial small subunit ribosomal RNA", at positions 28 to 507 of the family's 1533-position model. The record is from RNAcentral.